AGAGUUUGAUCCUGGCUCAGAUUGAACGCUGGCGGAAUGCUUUACACAUGCAAGUCGAGCGGCAGCGCGGGGCAACCUGGCGGCGAGCGGCGAACGGGUGAGUAAUACAUCGGAACGUGCCCAGACGUGGGGGAUAACUACUCGAAAGAGUGGCUAAUACCGCAUACGAUCUGAGGAUGAAAGCGGGGGAUCGCAAGACCUCGCGCGUCUGGAGCGGCCGAUGGCAGAUUAGGUAGUUGGUGGGAUAAAAGCUUACCAAGCCGACGAUCUGUAGCUGGUCUGAGAGGAUGAUCAGCCACACUGGGACUGAGACACGGCCCAGACUCCUACGGGAGGCAGCAGUGGGGAAUUUUGGACAAUGGGGGCAACCCUGAUCCAGCCAUUCCGCGUGAGUGAAGAAGGCCUUCGGGUUGUAAAGCUCUUUCAGCUGGAACGAAACGGUGCGCUCUAACAUAGCGUGCUAAUGACGGUACCAGCAGAAGAAGCACCGGCUAACUACGUGCCAGCAGCCGCGGUAAUACGUAGGGUGCGAGCGUUAAUCGGAAUUACUGGGCGUAAAGCGUGCGCAGGCGGUUUUGUAAGACAGAGGUGAAAUCCCCGGGCUCAACCUGGGAACUGCCUUUGUGACUGCAAGGCUGGAGUGCGGCAGAGGGGGAUGGAAUUCCGCGUGUAGCAGUGAAAUGCGUAGAUAUGCGGAGGAACACCGAUG
This 709-nucleotide ribosomal RNA is filed under the name uncultured bacterium. RNAcentral's name for it is "bacterial SSU rRNA". It matches the Rfam family "Bacterial small subunit ribosomal RNA", at positions 8 to 714 of the family's 1533-position model. The record is from RNAcentral.